UGUCAUCAUCACUGCAAAGCAGGCAACAAGCAGUCAUUAAGCUCAUGCUGAUUCUGAUGCUGAUGGUGAAUGAGAAGCAGCACUGCAGAAAACCACCUCAUGCCUAGCAUCCCAGGGCCACAGGUGCUGUGUGUUAGAUUGAGUGUUCACUUGUCCAGUGUGAAUGUAUUUUUGUUAAGAGUUAUUGGCCUUUGAGUUUCUGGUGACCAGAUGCUUCUUUCUAAACACACACACACACACACACACACACACACGUGGAAGACUGUUGGAGAAACCCAAAUGGUGUCAUAGGAGGCAGGUGUGAGAAGACACUUUGGUUGCACAACCAGGUAUGAUUCUGCCAGAGCAGAAGACCCUAUAUGGUUCUCUUUUCUGCCCCAGCACUGCCUCAUUAUGGCUAUGAUAGGUUUAUUGAAGCUAAAGUUUGGGCAUUCUGGGGCAGCCUUUGCCCCACACCCACACGAGUCUUUUUCAUUUUUCGGUUGCCACUGAAGUCUGGAAAUAGCACUCUGCCUUUUCCUCUGGCCCCAUAGAAACCGGGACUUCUGGGUGUUUAACUUAGCAUCUGACUCCAUUAGAUGCUCAGGGUCUCCUGCACUUACACCUAGGGAUAGGAAAAAGGGGUGUUCUGGGGAGAGUAGGGGGAGCAGUUUGCCCUCUAUUUGGUGGCUUUCCUUGUACAGUGGAGAGAGCAGCCAGAACCUGAAGUGACAACUGAGACAUCGUCAUCUGACGUAGAGUCUCUCUUCCCUCCCUGACCUCGUUGGUGUGCCACCUCUCCCUCCCUCCCAUUUCCAACAGCAUGCUUAGGAAUGAGUUAUGAAGUGUCUUAUUGGAAACCAAGACCUCAAUGGCAAUGAAGGGAAGACACUAUAGUUAGUUAUUAUUGAUCAUCUCUACCUGCACUUUCUAUAUUUGCAAGCACUUUUUGGGACUUAGUGAGUAAUAAAUAAAGUGUCUCUAGAUCACCUUGCUGCUUCCCACUGCUGCUGCCUCGUGCAUCCAGUUCUAGUUGUGUACCUCCUGGAUACACACACUAAGGAGGUGAGACCUUCAAAAGAAAUGCAAAAUAUUUCCACAAUUGUGUUUGUGUACAAACUGACCUGUCAAAACCAAAACUAUAUUUAGGUACUAGAUUAUAAUCAACACCCCCAGUGGAUGCUAUUGGUGCCUUGCCCAGGGCCCCUUUACCAGGCGGAUGCACUCAUCUCCCAGCUUUGAGUAUUGCUCACCGCAGCCACCUGCUUCCUGAAGAAUUGCCCUUGCAGAGC
Molecule: long non-coding RNA, 1271 nt
Filed under: Homo sapiens (human)
Lineage: Eukaryota; Metazoa; Chordata; Mammalia; Primates; Hominidae
Description: HSALNT0202092
Source: RNAcentral